Long non-coding RNA from Gopherus evgoodei (Goodes thornscrub tortoise), 112 nucleotides. RefSeq lists it as uncharacterized. The transcript has 3 exons. The record is from RefSeq and is a predicted model, not a curated record. Lineage: Eukaryota; Metazoa; Chordata; Testudines; Testudinidae.
AGGGUGUUCUGGGGACGGUUAGGGAGAAGGGGUGGUUGGAUGGGGAAGGGGUUGGGGAGGAAGUCAGUAAUGAGAGGAGGGCUUAGAUGGGAUGGCAGUGGGCAGUCAGGGA